Molecule: ribosomal RNA, 448 nt
Filed under: uncultured organism
Description: partial 16S ribosomal RNA
Rfam family: Bacterial small subunit ribosomal RNA
Source: RNAcentral
UACACUCCUGCGGGAGGCAGCAGUGGGGAAUAUUGGACAAUGGGCGCAAGCCUGAUCCAGCCAUGCCGCGUGAGUGAUGAAGGCCCUAGGGUUGUAAAGCUCUUUCACCGGUGAAGAUAAUGACGGUAACCGGAGAAGAAGCCCCGGCUAACUUCGUGCCAGCAGCCGCGGUAAUACGAAGGGGGCUAGCGUUGUUCGGAUUUACUGGGCGUAAAGCGCACGUAGGCGGACUAUUAAGUCAGGGGUGAAAUCCCGGGGCUCAACCCCGGAACUGCCUUUGAUACUGGUAGUCUUGAGUUCGAGAGAGGUGAGUGGAAUUCCGGGUGUAGAGGUGAAAUUCGUAGAUAUUCGGAGGAACACCAGUGGCGAAGGCGGCUCACUGGCUCGAUACUGACGCUGAGGUGCGAAAGCGUGGGGAGCAAACAGGAUUAGAUACCCCAGUAGUCCC